CUAAGGAGAGCAGUGAUGAGGAGAUGAGUGACCUCAGAAGAUUUAGAUGCUAGUAAAACCUUCCUAGGGUAGCCAACCUCAUAGAGAGAAAAGGGAGCUUGAAUUCUCAUCUUUUCUCCAAAAGAAACCCUAAGGAUGAAAUGGCUAUAAAGUUGCCCUUAUACCACCUCACAAUGGAGUGGCAAGCAAUUAAGCUAAGUUCACUACCCCUCUCUAUAUGGCCGGCCAUUAAUGGUUCAUUGGGCUUUCAAGCCCUUAGUGUUUUCAAGUUGUCAUACAACUUGAGUUAAUGGGCUCGACAUUCAAAUCCCAUUGGGCUUUGCGGCCUGAUAUGAGCAUAUUUAUGCGACUAAGUUAGCUUGUUCUCAUGCAUUUAUGUUGUUAUUUCUUAGUUAAUUAUGUAUUUUAAGCUAUUUUCGUGUGUUUGUAGGUCCAUAGGCCUUAUAAAGCAAUAAGAUGCAUUUUGGAGCAGUUUUGGGCUUGGAAUGAAUAGCAUAUGCAUGGAGCAAGGUGGAUGGAAAAAAUUGAAGACUAAAGAGGCUAGGAAUGUGUUAAAGAGAAAGAAGAAUUAAUGUAAAAAUGACAAAGAGCUCAGCUAUAAAGGGGCUCCACCAUUCACCUUUCCAUCAUUAUCGUGCACCACCAUUGCACUCCCUUUGGAUUCCUAUGUCGUGCAUCAUCAUCCAUGUUCCCUCCAUUGACUCAUUUGUUGCAUCAUUCCACUUCUUUUCCUUUGUCUACCAUGUGCACAAUAUCCUUUCACUUCCUUGCACUCAUUGAUUGACCACUUACUCAUCUUUCCACCCAUGCCAUGCAUAAUCACCCUUGUCCCCUUCAUUAUUUCAGAUUUCAUGCAUCAUUACAUUGAAUCAUUGCACUCAAUUGCUACACCAUUCCUUGUUCCUUCCAUCAUUUCAGAUUCAUGCAUCAUUACAUUGAAUCAUUGCACUCAAUUGCUACACCAUUCCUUGUUCCCUCCAUCAUUUCAGAUUUCAUGCAUCAUUGCACUCAAUUGCUACACCACUUCAUGUUCCCCUCCAUUGCCAUGCACUUCCUCUAUAAAAGGAAAUGUGUGUAACAUAAAUUGAGUUCAUACUUGGUUAAAUCAUUCACUCCCAUUUCAACACAACCUUCAUCCAAACACAUCCAUUCCUCCAUACAAACAACCCUUCAAACACUCACCAACACCUUGUGCCGUAGCAAAGGAAGGGAAGGAAAGUGCUUGGACGUGCUUGCUGUCCAACUUGGAUCGUUAGAGCGUUUAGGUGUUUUCUUUCUUUUGUUUCUAAUGUUUAAAUUCAUUUCCUUUCGUUUUGUUGUAAAUAUGAGUGGCUAAACCCCUCUUGGCUAGGGGUGAUUUCAAAGCCAUAAUUAUGUGUGUAAUAUAAUUUGAUAAAUUCCAGUUAUGAACUCUUGAAUCGUGAAUGCAAUUGGCUUAACUAUUUGAUUGAUAACUUAUUUGUAUUUGUUAAUUAAGGGUCGACACUUAAUUGGCAUGCAUAAAUCCGUUGCUAUAAUAUAAGAAAGUUUCACAUAAUCGUUACAAACUUAUAUUCACAUGUAGUGAAGGUCGCUUAUAAAUGAUCGGGUUAAGUUCAAUUCCUAGCAUGAGUGACAUGAUGUCAUAGUUGCAAUUGCUUUGUCAAUGCUUAUGAUUUUCAUUAAACGUAAUGAUCUUUGAUUGUAUCUCUAUUAUAAUGUCAUGUAGGGAACUUUUGAAGAAUGUUUUGGGUUGUCGAAUGAUGUCAUCCAAUCCAAUAGUUGUUUGCAUGCAUAUCAUGUGUGGAGAAAAAGCCUAUAGCCAUCCCAUCCAUCAUCUUAUUUCUCACAUUCGUUUUACAAUCUGUCUCAUUUUUCAUACUUGUUUGUUUGUUUCAACUUCAUCCAAAUCAAAACACCCCUUUUAGUUUCUUGUUUCAAAGUGUUUCAAAUCUGUUUUAGUUUGUGUUUUUAAGUGUUUUGAUUCAAGUAAAAGUCAAUUUUCGUCUAAAGUCAUUCCUAGUGUCUAAUUUAAGUUUAUUUUGUUGUUUUAAGCUGUUUUGAGUAUUUUAAGUUUGCUUUGAGUCUUGUGAGUCUUGUUAAGUGUUUUUAAGUUUAGUUUUAUGUUUUUGAGUCAGUUUAGAGGUUAUUAGCAAGCCCUCCUAAUCCCGGUCCCAAACGAUCCCUACUUAUACUUGUACUACAAUUGUCAAAAGAGGGUUAAAUUUUUGUGUUAAGAUAAUUUUCGCAUCACGGCCCAAAACUAACCCGGGGUCUAUAACGAACAUAUUCGUUUGAUUAAUUAACAUAUUAAUUAAUCUUAGCCAUAAAUAAUUAAACCAUUUAAUAAUCCUUACUCAUUUCCAUUGCUUCUUCAAUCUCUACCUUACUCGGUGUACGAUCUAUUAGGUUCCUUUUAACGAGGCAGUGGGCGAUUGUUACUCUUAACGAUCGAUUGUCAAUUAAAACAUACUUUCAAUUCUCCUUUUAGUGAUUACUCACCUUUAGGGCUUCCACAAACCAUGAGUGACACCUAGCAGUAUGUUAUGGCUACCUAAGCUAAUCAUAAGAGGUGGAGAACUUAUUCAAUUUAGGAUUACAAUGCAAUAUGGUCUUUCUUUAAUACAAUAUUCUUGACCAUAUUGUUUGGUUUGAUAGUUUAUUCAUGCCUACUAUCAAAUGUGAUUCUCUUACUUAUAUGAUUACCUUGAAUGUGAUUUGGAACGACUUCCUAAAUCUCAUUCAUACUCUAGCCAGAGAUUCUUAAUCAUAUCAUAAAGUAUUCUCCCUCAAAUGGUUUGGAGGUUAGAGAUCCCUUGUUGCGCAUUCAGUUGCCUCCAUGGCUAAGUGGCUUAACCCCAACUAUGCUGUGGAUACCCUAUGAUGGAGUGACUUUAACAUAGUCAAAGAUCAAUGACCUAACCAUAAGACAACUAUGAUGCCUCAGGUCAAAUGACUACUUUGCAUUAUCCCAACCAUGAGUUUUCAUGUGACAUGAGUAUUAGAACUCCUUGUUGAUCGUGUUCAGUGGACUCAUUCUUUAUUGAGCACCUACAUGCUUGUCUUGGUGUCAGUCACACCAAUGACUUGAGACCAAUCACUCUCCCUAAGAGAAGACAUAACACAUACUGAUCUUAACGGACUGUCAAUGCCCAAUUGGCAAUCCUAUGAUCAGGAACAUAUAGGAUAUAUAUACGAAAGAGAAUGGUCUCAUGAAUCUAACUUCUUUAGAUCACAUUCUCCCAAUUACAUAUUCCUUGGACUUAUCGUUUAAGCAUAUAACAUUUAUACGAGACAGCUUCAAACAAUAAUUUUUGCCCUUUAUAUUAAACUAGAUUAGUUUAACAUGUGAAAUGUUCGUAAAGUAUCAUCAUAUGAUUGGUUUUAGGGCACAUUUCCAGCACAUGGUUGAUAGGAAAUUGGCACCUCUUCCUUGUCCUCAUAAAUCUCAUCAUGAAGUCCUAUGUGGACUCAUGCUCAUAUUGCUUCACCUCAACUAGAUCGUUAAUAGUUAUCUCGGGCUCCACCUUAUAGAACUGCUCGUGAAAAGUCAUCUCCAUUUGCCCCUAGCUAGCAAUA
Molecule: long non-coding RNA, 3558 nt
Filed under: Malus domestica (apple)
Lineage: Eukaryota; Viridiplantae; Streptophyta; Magnoliopsida; Rosales; Rosaceae
Description: long non-coding RNA (MDOM_LNC011467)
Source: RNAcentral